Molecule: unclassified non-coding RNA, 1705 nt
Filed under: Leishmania donovani
Lineage: Eukaryota; Euglenozoa; Kinetoplastea; Trypanosomatida; Trypanosomatidae
Description: gene:LdHU3.29.1350(CDS-product:IPP_transferase/Zi nc-finger_of_C2H2_type_putative)
Source: RNAcentral
UCGACAAGCCUGUUUUUUUUGUUAUCGGGUCUACUGGGAGUGGCAAGUCAAGGGUGGCGAUUUACCUUGCUCAAGAAUUGAGGCGAGUUCACAACUACAAAGAUGUUGUCAUUAUCAACUGUGAUGUUUAUCAAUGCUACACUGAUCUUCCAAUUUUGACUAACAAGCCCUCAGCGACGGAUCUUGGCGGAGUGACCCACCUUUGCUUAGGGCUCCUCAGCAGCGACGGAUCUGUUAUAUGUGACAACAACGGUGGCUCCGUGGAACAACGCGAGUUCUGCCACGAGGCGCAGAUACAGUUGACAGGCAAUGCCUCUUUCAAUGUUCACUCGUACGAACGCAUAGUGACGUCCUUUAUAAAUGGUUUCUUCCAGCGACACGCAGAUGGAGCUGUAAUCAUUUGUGGUGGGACCUGCUACUACGCUCAAGCUCUACUCUUCGCUGACUCGCUAGUAUACGAUCGUGAACAACACGCUCUAUGCUCUUAUACUGAUUCAGACGCAGAGGACGGCUUGUGGGAACGCCUGAACGCGGUUGAUGCGGAGGUAGCGCUGCGAUAUCACCCCAAUGAUCGCCGUCGAAUCAAGCGGCUACUUGAGAUCUAUGAUUCCACGGGGCAAGCACCAUCAGCCAUCUUCGAUUCCCAGGCAUCAAAGCUGCGAUUUGAUAGCAACGCGCUCUUUAUUGUGUGGGUCCGAAUGGAGCGUGAGGUUUUGGACGACUUUCUGAACAGGCGCGUUGACUUGAUGCUUCAGCGCGGGAUGUUGGGCGAGGUCAAAGCAUUUUGGCUGAAAAACGGUAGGAAGCUCCCGCAUAAUAGUCUCUCCGGGGCGAUUGGAUGCAAAGAGUUUUCCCAGUUCUUUACUAGCGAUAAUCCGUCACUAAUCUCGAGCAGCGAUUGUGAGAACGCAGUCGCACAAAUCAAGUCGAAUACUCGCCGGUACGCCCGACAGCAGGAGCGAUGGAUUCAAAACCGCCUUCUUCCACUUUUGCACUCUUCUUCCUUGAAAGAGGCACCGACUCACUUUGUGCAGCUAUGGGUACAGGAGGGCGUGGACGCUCUGCCUUCUGUUCAAAGGACUUUGGAUACUUUUUUAGGGACAUCCCCGGUGCAGCCUCUCGCAGAAUCGCUGUUUCCAUUAAAGCAGCAGCUGGCUUCUCGCGAGCCAGUUUCACAAAAGGAGUGCAAAAUAUGCAAGAUUCUGGUCUACGGUCGCGGUCAGAUGGUGAUACAUCUCAAGUCGAAGCGUCACCGAGGUUCUCUAAGACGUUUGGCACUGGAAAAGGAGCACAGAGAGAAGUACGGGCGCGAGCUGCCACCCCCAAAGAGGAAGCGGAACAGUUGAGGCUUUCUAUGGCCAUGCCAGGAUCGGGUGUGAAGCAGUCAUACCAGGCACUGCUAUGCAUCGAAGACAAAACCAAGUAGCUAGGCGGCAAAUAAAAAAAAAUGGCAGCUAGAUAGCAGAGGGCAGUGGCUUGCUCUCUCGUUUUCAUACCAGCAGCAUUGCAGCCGCAGUGGCUGUGCAUGCUGCCUUGAAAGCGAUCAGGGCUGGAGCGAUUGAACGUUUUUCAGCCCUCGAAAAUGAGCCUGCCGUUGUGGCAAGGUGCACGAGUCACACAUCCGUAGUUUCACUUCACAUUGCAUUCACUUUUCCCUUUUUUUUCUUGGCACCUGCUUGCGUUCGUUUCCCUGAGAUUCUCUCAG